GCUAACCCCGUGCCGGCAGCCGGAGGAAUACGGAGGGUGCAAGCGUUAAGCGGAAUUACUGGGCGUAAAGCGCACGCAGGCGGUUGGAUAAGUUAGAUGUGAAAGCCCCGGGCUCAACCUGGGAAUUGCAUUUAAAACUGUCCAGCUAGAGUCUUGUAGAGGGGGGUAGAAUUCCAGGUGUAGCGGUGAAAUGCGUAGAGAUCUGGAGGAAUACCGGUGGCGAAGGCGGCCCCCUGGACAAAGACUGACGCUCAGGUGCGAAAGCGUGGGGAGCAAACAGGAUUAGAUACCCUGGUAGUC
Molecule: ribosomal RNA, 300 nt
Filed under: uncultured Wolinella sp.
Lineage: Bacteria; Pseudomonadati; Campylobacterota; Epsilonproteobacteria; Campylobacterales; Helicobacteraceae
Description: bacterial SSU rRNA
Rfam family: Bacterial small subunit ribosomal RNA
Source: RNAcentral